This is a long non-coding RNA of Rhinopithecus roxellana (golden snub-nosed monkey), 796 nucleotides long. RefSeq lists it as uncharacterized. Lineage: Eukaryota; Metazoa; Chordata; Mammalia; Primates; Cercopithecidae. The record is from RefSeq and is a predicted model, not a curated record. The transcript has 2 exons.
GUUUGCCGGCUUCCGCGGUGAUGGAUCACCGUUUCAGUGGCAUUUAAAUCCCCGGCGCUCCGCCGUCUAGGUGACGCGCAGUCGCCCCCCCAGGCAGCCCAGGCGGCGGCAGCUGCUGCGGCGACUGCAACGGCAGAUUUGGAGUGCUGGAGCGAAGAAGAGCAAAGGCUGCCUUCUGCGCGCGCCCGACUCCACUGCCCGCCCCGCCAGGCCUCCGGGAGGUGGGGGCUGGGAGGCGUCCCCCGCUCCCGCCCCCUCCCCACUGUGCACUGAAAGAUGAACUGGCGAGAGGUCUGUUUUGCCUGAACCAUCAAGAGCUGGGAGAUUAAUCAACCACACUGAAAAUGUGGAGAGAUUUAUGGGGGAGGGGGUUGAAAUGUGGAUGUUUGAAACAAAAGUGUAUAAAUAAAUGAAUUGUUGAUAACUUAGUUAUUGACCUGGAGACUGGUAGCUUAUUAAAGAAACUCCAUGUUACUCAUUCCUGGAGUUGGAGGUUUCUAUAGGCACUUUAUUUCUCCACUUUCAAGAGCUUGGGCUUGGCCCAAAUCUUAGACUGCCCAAUUAUGUCUCUAUUACCAAUUUAAAUCUAUGGCUUGAACCUGUGCACUGAAAAUCAAAUCUAUUGCCUUUAAAAAGAAGGAGGAGAAGAAGCAAAAAAGCAAAAACAAACAAACAACAACAACAACAAAAAAAAACACUUAUUAGAAGCCCUAGUCAUUUUUUGGCUUUCUGUUUUGUUGCUGUCCAUAGAAGACUUUGAACAUGCCGCCUUAAUAAAUGUAUUAAAAUUGAAAAA